RNAcentral lists this ribosomal RNA (403 nucleotides) under Bacteroidota bacterium. RNAcentral describes it as "Bacteroidetes bacterium partial 16S ribosomal RNA". It matches the Rfam family "Bacterial small subunit ribosomal RNA", at positions 355 to 776 of the family's 1533-position model. The record is from RNAcentral. Lineage: Bacteria; Pseudomonadati; Bacteroidota.
UGGGGAAUAUUGCACAAUGGGGGAAACCCUGAUGCAGCGACGCCGCGUGAACGAAGAAGGUAUUCGUAUCGUAAAGUUCUGUCCUUUGGGAAGAUAAUGACAGUACCAUAGAAGAAAGCUCCGGCUAAAUACGUGCCAGCAGCCGCGGUAAUACGUAUGGAGCGAGCGUUGUCCGGAAUUAUUGGGCGUAAAGGGUACGCAGGCGGUUUAAUAAGUCGAAUGUUAAAGAUCGGGGCUCAACCCCGUAAAGCAUUGGAAACUGAUAAACUUGAGUAGUGGAGAGGAAAGUGGAAUUCCUAGUGUAGUGGUUAAAUGCGUAGAUAUUAGGUAGAAUACCAGUAGCGAAAGCGACUUUCUGGACACAAACAGACGCUGAGGUACGAAAGCGUGGGGAGCAAACAGG